RNAcentral lists this ribosomal RNA (1433 nucleotides) under metagenome. Its description in RNAcentral is "bacterial LSU rRNA". It matches the Rfam family "Bacterial large subunit ribosomal RNA", at positions 668 to 2122 of the family's 2925-position model. The record is from RNAcentral.
AGCGAAGCGAGUCCGAAUAGGGCGCUUAGUUGUCAGCAAUAGACCCGAAGGGGUGGUGAUCUAACCAUGGCCAGGAUGAAACUUCAGUAACAUGAAGUGGAGGUCCGAACCGGUCAAUCUUGAGAAAUUGUCGGAUGAGCUGUGGUUAGGAGCGAAAGACUAAUCAAACCCCCUGAUAGCUGGUUCUUUCCGAAAUAUAUUUGGGUAUAGCCUCGGGCGCUGAUUUGCGGAGGUAGAGCACUAAAUAAGCUAGGGCCCCUACCGGGGUACUGAACUUAAUUAAACUCCGAAUACCGCAGAGUGAAGCCCGGGAGUCAGACUGUGGGGGAUAACCUUCAUAGUCAAAAGGAGAAUAAUCCAAACCAUCAGUUAAGGUCCCAAAAUACGGCUCAGUGUUAAAGGAUGUGAUUUUGCUUAGACAAUGGGGAUGUUGGCUUAGAGGCAGCCAUCAUUUAAACAGUGCGUAACAGCUGACCCAUCGAGCGAAAUUGCGCCGAAAAUGAUCGGGACUUAAGCCGUAUACCGAAGCUAUGGCUGACAUCGCAAGAUGUCGGGGUAGGAAAGCGUUCCAAAUGCAGCGAAGUGGAAGGGGUAACCGACCAUGGAGCAUUUGGAAGUGAGAGUGCAGACAUAAGUAACGAUAAAGAUGGUUAAAAUCCAUCUCGCCUCAAUUCCGAGGAUUCCUGGGGAAGGUUCGUCCUCCCAGGGUUAGUCGGGAGCUAAGACGAGGCCGUAAGGAGUAGUCGAUGCACAGCUGGUUCAAUAUUCCAGCACCACCUUGUUAGAGUUCGAUGCCAAGGAGUGACGGAGAAAGUUAACACGAGCGGGGCGCUGAUUUCCGUUCAAGUCCGUAGGUUAUUCGGGAGUAAAAUACCGGAUCUAUCUGAAAGACGAUGAAGAGCUGAGGCUACGGCCGAAGCGAUUCGUGUGAUACUCGGCUUCCAGGAAAAGCUUCGUGGCUAUUUGAUAGGGUGCCCGUACCGUAAACCGACACAGGUGGAAUAGAUGAGUAUUCUAAGGCGCGUGGGUUAAAUCUCUCUAAGGAACUCGGCAAACUGACCCCGUAUGUUAGCUAUAAGGGGUGCCUCGCAAGAGGCCACAGAUAAGAGUGUCAACCGACUGUUUAGCAAAAACACAGCUCUCUGCUAAGUCGCAAGACGACGUAUAGGGAGUGACUUGUGACCAAUGCGGAAAGGUGAAAGCCUGGGGUGCAAGCUCCGGGUCUAAGCCCCCGUGAAUGUCGGCCGUAACUAUAACGGUCCUAAGGUAGCGAAAUUCCUUGUCGGGUAAGUUCCGACCCGCACGAAUCAAGUAACGAGUUGACAACUGUCUCGGAGAGAGGCCCAGUGAAAUUGUAGUGGCGGUGAAGAUGCCGCCUACCCGCAGCAGGACGGAAAGACCCUAUGCACCUUUACUGUAAGCUGUUAUCAAAG